AGGAAUCCACUUCUGUGGCGGUCAUGAAGCCCAAGCUGUGUUAAUAGUGACUUCUGGAGGGAGCGGAGAAGAGAGUAAGGAAACAGCCUGAAAUCAAAGUGACCCAAGAAAAUUAAAUGUGAUUAUACCUGCCAGUUGCAUCCUCCAGGAAGCUGAUCUUGAGGGACUCUUCAUCUGAACACCGGCAUUAGCUGAGGGAGAGUAAGUAAGGAAGCUGUAUGUUACCAGGGAUGGAGCCUCCACCCCUCAUCUCUGGGUGACUGUACAGCUUACAGACCCCAAAGCUGAAAAUGAAACACCAAUGAGAAAUAAAUAUUUGCUGUGCUGAACCAU
Molecule: long non-coding RNA, 333 nt
Organism: Acinonyx jubatus (cheetah)
Lineage: Eukaryota; Metazoa; Chordata; Mammalia; Carnivora; Felidae
Exons: 5
Source: RefSeq, a predicted model, not a curated record